AUCUUGCAAUCGUGAUUUCUCCAUUAUAUAUAUACAUUUAAUGUUACGCCUCAUUUUACGAGCCUCGGUACCGAAGUACCGAAGUGUCAUCUCGCCACUCCGAAGCCGGUGAAAUCAAAUAGACCACUCCGACCUCCCGAAGCUUCUCCAAAGUGAUACACCGAUUCCUGUCACUGAUCUGCCGAAGUGUCCCGUCUCCGAGGUCGGGUUCAAGUGGACCCCCGUUAGAAGAUUCGCUGCCAAUUUAAGAUUUGCUCUGCAUAUAAGGUUUAAAUUGAUUUGACGUCUCCCAUAAAGCUAUUUGAUGUGACUUAUCAACUUUAUGUCAAUUCAACUCAGGGGAAACAAACUGUCCGCCCACUCUACAAGCGCGGCUGAUUGACGCCUAUGAGCAGACGCUUCAUACCGUCAGAUGUAUACACGUGUUUCACAUCCCACAGUUCAUACCACCUAUAAAUACCCAAAGAUUGGACAGAGGCAAAGGUAAUGAAACUCUCAAUAGAUAGCACUCCAUAACAAGUUUAUAUAUUCUCCUCCCCCUUUAUUGACUGAUUGAUUUGUGUAGUCCCUGGACACUGUUCCGACCACCCAAACCUGACUUGACCGUCGGAGUGUAUACGGCCGCUACCCCCGUCGGUUCCGGCCGUGUGCGCCUGACAGUUUGUUCAUUUCGUAGGGAGGAAUACGUGGAGUAAUUACAAGUUGGCCACGUGGAAGAGCCAUUUUUAGAGGUCAACAUUUAAUAUUACUGAUCUGCUUGACAAUUUGUGCCUGAAAAGACCUUAACACUUCUUGAACAACCUAUCAAUGAUGUUUUAACUAAAUCACUGAAUGGUUAUUUGAAAAAAGGGCGAUUAAUGAUGUUUCAUCACAAUUAUUAAAUUGUUCAUGUGGUGGGUUCCUGAGGGCAUAUAGAACCUGUUCGCCGUCUCUCAUUAGCAAUGGCUUUUGGAAAAAGUAAUUGUAUCUUUUUACAUUACAUGUAUUCCACGUGCAACCCCAUCUUACUACCAAAAAACUUGUACGGUGGAAUUUUAUCCUAUAAACUUCGAAUCGUU
RNAcentral lists this long non-coding RNA (1058 nucleotides) under Olea europaea subsp. europaea. The record is from RNAcentral. Lineage: Eukaryota; Viridiplantae; Streptophyta; Magnoliopsida; Lamiales; Oleaceae.